Molecule: ribosomal RNA, 462 nt
Filed under: uncultured bacterium
Lineage: Bacteria
Description: partial 16S ribosomal RNA
Source: RNAcentral
GACUACAGGGGUAUCUAAUCCCGUUUGCUACCCUAGCUUUCGCACCUCAGCGUCAGUUAUGGUCCAGUGAGCCGCUUUCGCCACCGGUGUUCCUCCAGAUAUCUACGCAUUUCACCGCUCCACCUGGAGUUCCACUCACCCCUACCAUCCUCGAGUCUGUCAGUAUCAAAUGCUGUUCCCCGGUUGAGCCGGGGGCUUUCACACCUGACUUAACAGACCGCCUACGUGCGCUUUAUGCCCAGUGAUUCCGAACAACGUUUGCAACCUCUGUCUUACCGCGGCUGCUGGCACAGAGUUAGCCGUUGCUUCCUCUCGCUUUAGUCAGCCUUGGCGCUAUUAACACCAAGGUUUUCCUAUAGCGUGACAACAGUUUACAACCCGAAGGCCUUCAUCCUGUACGCGGUGUCGCUCCGUCAGGCUUUCGCCCAUUGCGGAAGAUCCUCGACUGCAGCCCCCCGUAGG